GACGAACGCUGGCGGCGUGCUUAACACAUGCGAGUCGAACGGAAAGGCCCUGCUUUUGUGGGGUGCUCGAGUGGCGAACGGGUGAGUAACACGUGAGUAACCUGCCCUUGACUUUGGGAUAACUUCAGGAAACUGGGGCUAAUACCGGAUAGGAGCUCCUGCUGCAUGGUGGGGGUUGGAAAGUUUCGGCGGUUGGGGAUGGACUCGCGGCUUAUCAGCUUGUUGGUGGGGUAGUGGCUUACCAAGGCUUUGACGGGUAGCCGGCCUGAGAGGGUGACCGGCCACAUUGGGACUGAGAUACGGCCCAGACGCCUACGGGAGGCAGCAGUGGGGAAUAUUGCACAAUGGGCGGAAGCCUGAUGCAGCAACGCCGCGUGCGGGAUGGCGGCCUUCGGGUUGUAAACCGCUUUCGCCUGUGACGAAGCGUGAGUGACGGUAAUGGGUAAAGAAGCACCGGCUAACUACGUG
RNAcentral lists this ribosomal RNA (468 nucleotides) under uncultured bacterium. Its description in RNAcentral is "partial 16S ribosomal RNA". It matches the Rfam family "Bacterial small subunit ribosomal RNA", at positions 28 to 507 of the family's 1533-position model. The record is from RNAcentral.